UACAGAGGGUGCGGGCGUUAAUCGGAAUUACUGGGCGUAAAGCGCACGUAGGUGGCGACGUAAGUCGGGUGUGAAAGCCCCGGGCUCAACCUGGGAAUUGCAUUCGAGACUGCAUUGCUGGAGUACGGAAGAGGAAGGCGGAAUUCCCGGUGUAGCGGUGAAAUGCGUAGAUAUCGGGAGGAACAUCAGUGGCGAAGGCGGCCUUCUGGUCCAGUACUGACACUCAAGUGCGAAAGCGUGGGGAGCAAACAGG
Molecule: ribosomal RNA, 253 nt
Filed under: uncultured bacterium
Lineage: Bacteria
Description: partial 16S ribosomal RNA
Rfam family: Bacterial small subunit ribosomal RNA
Source: RNAcentral